Solea solea (common sole) is the source of this 5298-nucleotide long non-coding RNA. RefSeq lists it as uncharacterized. The record is from RefSeq and is a predicted model, not a curated record. The transcript is spliced from 5 exons. Lineage: Eukaryota; Metazoa; Chordata; Actinopteri; Pleuronectiformes; Soleidae.
AGCAUAUAGGAGGGGACUGAUUGAUUGGUGCCACCACACACCUGCGUGAAGUCGUCUUCACGCAGGUGUUUUUCAAUCAGCUGAUGACCGCUGAUUGCUUCCUCCCCUCCUCUUCUUAUUUAAUCUUACUCCAACCAACAGUUCCGUGAUGUCACUGUGAAGAGAAGCUGCACGAGCCGUGGAACGAAAAAAAAGGCGCGAAAAAAGUGUAUUCUUGUUGCUUAACUACUGAAACGGUUCCGGGAGGAGGGAACUUGUGGCGGUAAUGCACAAACCGCCAUAAAACCUCAAAAGAGAACGAGGGAACUUUAAAAAUAGAAGAGAAAAAGAAGAAAACUACCGCGGCGUGACGUCAGACGCCGAAAAUGUAGUCGCGUGCAUCAGCUCUUAUAUAAAAACGCAGCAAAGUGCUCCAGGAUGGCGUGUUCGACCUGGUCCAGAUUGGUGGCCCGUCCAGAAUGGAACUUCCUGCUCACAGAGACCAGGUCUGACACGCCAUAUACAAAAGCCUGAGGCUGUCAAAAAAAGAUUGAUCUUCAUGAAGAUCGUCAAAGAGUAGGUGUGAUGGUUUAAUUCUGGGUGGCCGCCGUGUCCCCACUCUUUCUUGGCCGCUGUGCCUACAUCUCUCUGCCUUGUCCAACAUGGCCACGUUCUCUCUAUUCUCCUGCUUUACAUCUGUCAGAUAGCUGAGGGUUGUACAUGGAGCAUACGCCACAGGUUGGUUUUGUAUGUUCCGGUCCACUUUAUUGGGUGGUCUGAUCUGGUCCUUGUUGGUUAUAUGUUUGUAGAACUGCUGAGCGAGUGAUUUGAAAGAGUGAGGUGACUGAUGGAGUGUUUGAGAUUCUCUCUCUGAAUGAAGGUGUUGUGUGUGACUGAGAUGCCUGGAUUGAAUAGUUAAGAUGGUGUGAGAAUAUGAUUAUGUUCAGCAGUUCACAUUAAAGUAGAUCUGGUGUCUUGAAGGGCUUAGAUGCUUGAUAAGUUAUAAUGCACUAACAUUUCCUUUUUAGGUCCGUCUACAAAGGGUGAGUCCAUUUUUUUUGUGUCUUCUCUGGGGGGGGGGCUACCUUCUUGCCCUCCAUGUGUGCUAGGGUUUGCAGAGUAGGGGAAUAAACAAAAGAAAACUUGUGUGUUGUGUUUUUUGAAAGUGAAGGUACUUAGGUGUUGGCAACUGACUUGCUAGUCUGGCUGCUCACAGCUAACUACUGGAUCACACUGACAAUUUACAUGCAAAGGUAAGAACACGCCUCUCUAUGGAGGUGUUUUCUUGCCCUUAACCACUUUUUCUUUCCAACUGUUUCUUAAGACAGUAAGUAACACGCAGGCCGCGGGCCAUCGCUGUUCCGGCCGCCGUGUCGAUCUGUCCUGGCCCUCCUCGUGCCUUUCCUCACUUCUAAAAGGGAAAAAAAGUUUUCAUUAGCACUAAACUAUAGUGAUGUUGGAGGACCAGAUCUUAAAUGAGGUUUAAAUAGAUGUUGGUGUACGGUUAAAACUAGAUGGUAGGAAUAAAGUUAAUGUUGUGCCUUUGUACGCUCUGUCACAAGGUUUAGACUUCUUGGCCGCUGUGCCUUUUUUUUUUUUCCUCUCUCACUUUUCCAACGUGGCCAUUAAUCUACCAUUAGCCCUAGAACGUUAAAGUAGAUCCUGGUGAUCUACAAACAUAGUACCUGGCUUUGAAUGGCAGCCCUGCCAUAGCCUUAGUAUGGCCAUUACGUCCUUUAAUGCAAGUAGGCUAUGAUCGCUAACUGUGCCCGCGCCUUCGUGAUCUACUUGUGUUCUUGUACGUGUGGCCUUGCGCGUAUAGUCAUUUUAUAUAGACAAACAUGGGUGCCUUCCGCGUCCAUGCACAGUAAGUGAACUAACCUGUACUUUUCUUCUAGCAUCAGUCAAGAGGAGCACCGACAUCCCUGCAUGUCCAUCUUAAUUAGAUUGCGUUUUAGUUACAAUAAAAUUUCAAAUGUUAAGUAGUUUUUCUUUCUUGGCCGGUGUGUGUGUGUGUGUGUGUGUGUGUGUGUGUGUGUGUGUGUGUGUGUGUGUGUGUGUGUGUGUGUGUGUGUGUGUGUGUGUGUGUGUGUGUGUGUGUGUGUGUGUGUGUGUGUGUGUGUGUGUGUGUGUGUGUGUGUGUGUGUGUGUGUGUGUGUGUGUGUGUGUGUGUGUGUGUGUGUGUGUGAGAGAGUGUGAGACACCAAGAGUAACACUCCAAUUGAGUUUGCUGCACCAGAAAGGUGAACAAAAUUUAUGCUGCAAGACUGGGAAGAUACACACUAAUAAGACAACAUUCAAAUUCUUUCAAAAACAGGUAAAAUGUUUACCUUUCAGGUAAGUAUUGAAGGCCUUUGCCACAUGAUCUUUGUAGGUAAAUCGUGUCCACUUCAUUUAUAAAGUUAAUUUGCAUCUACACAUUUACAAUGCCUGACACAAUGGCAUUACAAUAAUCUAAUUUUUAGUUUUGCGUUACUGAGUGCAAAGGCCUUUGUUUACACACUGACGCAUGCCAAGACAUGUCAUGGCAUGUGUCACUGUCUCUCUCGCUGUUCUGUGUGUCUUUCUGUCUGGUCUCUCUGUCUUGUGUGUCUGGUAUCCGUCUGUCUGUCCUGUGUGUUUGGUAUCUGUCUGUCUUGUGUGUCUCGUAUCCGUCUGUCUGUCCUGUGUCAGAUUUAGUCACUUUCUUAGUCUCAACUUAAAUGGAUGAUUUAAAGUUGAUUAGUUUGAGGCGUCUGAUUUCUGCAGGAAAUUCUGGUAUCUUAUAUUGAAAUGGCUUUAAUUUAAAAAUGUAAUUUUGGUCUUGAAUCUCAGAUAUCAUAGUUGCAACUUGGGUUGUUGACAAACGUGGAAGCUGAUGAAUCGUGUUGUAAAUGCAUCAAAGUUUACUGUAGCUUGUUUAAAGUUCUUUCAAAGUGCUGUAAACAUGUAGUAAUUGAUUAUGAUGAGCUAGACCAGUCAAGAGUCUUCCUUUAUUCUCAACUGGUAAUUGCUUUGAUAAGACAACUGGUUCCUGAUUUGAUUAUGAAGCUAAACAUUUGAUUUAUAUGUAGGUGCAGUCACAUCAGAUUGUAGGUGUUAUUCAGCCCAUGGAUAAUGUUAUGAUAUACUUUAAAUCUGGCAUUUGUUUGCACACUUUUGUUAUCCAUUUAAGUCUUAAACUUAACGCACUGCCAUCAGCCUUUGUAGUCGCUAACUGAAAUCAAAUUCAAUAUUAAUGCUGACUUGUCUCACUCUGCCAAGUUUAUUUCCCUCUAAAGGAGUUGAACCUUUUUGUGUUCAUAGUCUUUUUGCGCGUCAUGGUGGGAGGCCUCCCAGCAGGGGAUUUUUAUCUUCCCCUGCAAAACUAUGCGUUACUCGUCUUAGGGAUGCCGGGCUAUCCUGCAUAGUUUCUUUCAUAAAUUAGAUUGUAGGUUUCAGGAUUAGAACGCGUUUCUUUUCUUUAGGAGGACACAAACCUGGCAGAGGGACAACUUGGAUUAUUUAAGUCAAAGUUGCGCCAAAUUUUCCAACUUUUUAUCUUUCGAUACGAUGACUUGAAAUAAAACCUUUAUUCUGUGGGCUGAAUUCAGACAGAAUUUGGCUUUAUGUUAAAGACUGUUGUGCAGCUGCAGCUUUUUAAUGUAUUUUUGGUUGUUUGAUUUGUUUCUUGGAUUGACUUGGUGUCUGGAGCUUUGUGGUUAACGAUGAUCAUGUAAACAUGUAAACACAAGUGGUUUUUUGCCUCUUAUUUGUGAAGCUGGCAGCUGGUUGAAAUGAUAGGAUUUUAUGGCUUAUCCAAAGUGGGAUUUUUGAUAGAGCAUAGGGUUAACACCUCACUAUACACUAGAGUCUCUAGGAAGAUGCUUAAUCCCAAUGUCUUGGUUGGUUGCAUGAGAAACUUCUAUCUCUUAGAUGUGUUGGCGAAGUUCCUUCUCUGAUUUUUGUAGACUUGCCCUAAAGUUUCUCUCCGCUUUAACUCUUGCUGAACUAUGCAUUAAAUGAUUCCUCCAACUUGUCUCCAUAUCAAUUGUUUUCUCCCUGCAGACUUCCACCACCCACUGCUGCUGUUGCAUCUGCUAAAGGUAGCCGUAUCCUGAUUCACUGCGUCUUCAUGUGUUGGGUAAGAAGUGUCAUUAGACUACUAACAAUGUAAACACCUUUUAAAUGCUUGAUCUAAUUUACCCAAAUGCUUCAUCAGUUUAGGACAGACAAUCAUUGAAUUUGACAUUGUUGGGGUCAGUAAUCUGACCUCGAAAUGUUUGGGAAACCAUGCAAAAGAUCGCAAGCUCUCUGCAUGACCCAACAGCAUCGAUGUUUGAGUUAUUUAAUUGCUCAAUUUUUAAAUCAGUCAAGAUUUUAUGAGCUGGAUCUUCUUCACACAACAGAGAACGAGGUAAAUUGAGUCGACUCGUAACAUGGUAAGGCAUUUCGUCCUUCCCCUUCUUCUCUUUGUGUGAGGAAAUCUGGCCACGGAUCCUGACUGAGUGGCAUACCAUGACUGUGCAGUUUCCAAAAUCAGACAAGGAUCCAUCUGAUUUUCUAAAUCAGCCUGUCAUGAUAUGCAUUAAUCUUCCUCUGAAACAAAGGAUUGGAAUGGACAGGUUUGUAGUGUAAAUCACAUCACAUGUAGAUGGUGAAGCAUUUGUUUAAAUUGGAGUCAAGCAUUUUCAGGCGUCUGCUUUGUCAAUACUCUGGUGCCACGUCUUGUUAAACACACGAGAAGCUCUGAAUUGUGAAACUGCUGCCUCUUGCAGAUGUUACAACAGCAAUGGUUGUUGAAAGGCUGCAGGGAGAGAAAAUGAGAUCUGAGGACGGGAAAGUGGAAUUGAUUUCAUGCUUAGCAAAAUGAGAGUUUCAGCAGAAGACCUUUUUGAGGCGAGGCUAUGGAAUCAGAAGGAACGUUUGUCUGGGCAACUGGGAGAUUUACAGUUUUUCAUGCAGCCAACCAAGACAUUGGGGCAAAGAUUGUUUGUAACUGUCAGUGUAGGACAGGAAAGGCAGGUAUAGGUUAGGGAGGGAAUCCAUCGGUGAGCUCUGCCUGGAUGUGAGGACCUGUCACACUUGACCAGAGAUGAACGCUACAGCACAUUCCUCCAUGUUGGACACCACGACCUGAAGAAGUCCCGUCCUCGAUGGCUGCGGUGAUGACCUAGCCCAAAAUGAACUGACCCUUCUACGACGAGGACUUCGCCCAAGAUGAACCAACCUUUUCUGCCUCUUUUCCACGGGAUGUCUUCAGAUGGUGGACCUUGCCAAACUGUACACAUGCCUCAAUGGCUGCUACGUCACUCUGCCCAACAGGACAUGGUCACCAAGAUUUCUUUUUUUUUUUUUUUU